Non-coding RNA from Phalacrocorax carbo (great cormorant), 835 nucleotides. The record is from RefSeq and is a predicted model, not a curated record. Lineage: Eukaryota; Metazoa; Chordata; Aves; Suliformes; Phalacrocoracidae.
CUGACCUGACGAGGGAGGGGCGCCGCCGCCUCUCGGGGCCGGCGGGGGGUUUUCCUCCCCGCCACCGAUCCUCUGCGCCCCGGCCCGUCCUUCCCCGGGCGCCACCACAGAGAGAAAGCCCAGGAUGCGAGCGAGGGUAUGGCCCUUCGUUGCUCCAAGCUGUGUCAUGUCUCAAGAUUUUCUUCAAAACCAUAUAGGUGUCUUUUUAAUCGAUGAAUGCAGUAGGAGCUGGGAGUACUGGUGGCAAGACACACAACUUAAUGGCAAGCUGCAGAAUGAGCCACGAGGCAGUCUUCCACCUUACCUAGGAAUGCAACUGGAAAUGGACGGUCUGUCAUGCCACAGCCCUAGAAGAUGUUUUCUUCUUUAUCCAACAAACUACUGAGACUUUACUGUGUACCAAGACUUCAGGGUCUGUGCUUGACUCUAGGAGCUAAUUAAUCCAGAAGCUAAGCCUGUGUUAAUAGAAAAUAUACCAGCACUGUUGAUUUGCUCUAUUUAACUCCAAGGGUUGUGUGGUUAACUGGAUGCACCUUGUCUGUCAUAAAUAUAAAUUCUGUUUUCAGUUUAACCACGAAUGAUUUUAUAUGGGCCUUUGCUUACAGAGAUAUAUUCUAGAAAGUAAUGGCGCCUCCUGCCCAAUUUAUGGAAUUGGAGUUCAAGUAGCCAGAAGCAAAAGUAACAAACUAUAAGAAUGUGCAUGAAAUGAUAAACUGGAUGCCUGCUUUUAAAAAUUUUAUUAAUUUGUUUAUUUUUAUUUUACUUUUUUUUGUUCCUAGUGUUUCCAGAGCCAAACACUGUAGACUGGGAAAACCAUUAAAGCCAGAGUCAAUGA